Molecule: long non-coding RNA, 2053 nt
Filed under: Hordeum vulgare
Lineage: Eukaryota; Viridiplantae; Streptophyta; Magnoliopsida; Poales; Poaceae
Description: long non-coding RNA (HVUL_LNC006923)
Source: RNAcentral
GGUUGAGCCCACCGAACAGCAAGUAGCGCACGGGUCAACCCAACCCCUCGCUCUCCCUCCCUGUCUCGCCCAAUGGAGAGAGAGAGCUAGAGCGAGAGCUCUCCUCCUCCCUUCGAGAUCACGGCCGUCACCUCCCUUCUGAGGAGCUUGCCACCUCCCUCCUCCUCUCGCCCACGGCCUCCCCCACGCCCUCCUCCUCUCGCCCCUCCCCUUCCCUCACUAGAAGGGAGAGAAGAACUAGAGGGAGGGAGAUCCAUCCUGAUCCAUUCGGGGCUAGGGUUCGGGCGGGGCGUCGCCGGUGGCCUCUCUGCCCUUCUUCGACCGGAUCCGCCACCCCCACCUCACCUCCAUCUCUCAGCCCACCUCGCACGAGCGCCCGGAUGGUGGUGCGCGAGCCUCACUAGGAGGGAUAUCCAUCUGGAUCGGAACUAGGUGGUGCAUGAGAGGCCGGAGCGCGCCGCCCACCUCACGCACACGGCGCUCGACGCGCUCGCCACCAUCUGCAACCCGCCGGUCAAUGCUCUGCACCCCAUCAGUAAGCACCACGCCCUCCUGCCCGUCCCUCCUCCGUCGGGCCUCCUUCCUCCUGCUACUCUAUCUAACGCCGUGGCCCGAUUUCGGUUGGCCCCCCUUCUCUGUGAAGUCAUCUAGGGGCUCAACUAGAAGAACGCCUUCGGCCUUCGGCCGCGAUGACAUCAUUGCCGCCGUGCUCACCGGUGAGAUUUCCCUCGGUUCACCACACCCCUUCCCCCUCCAAGAUGAUUUUUCAUGUGAUUGUUGGUGGAAUUGAAGUUAGUGAGUAGCGAUUCAUGUUCUGCUCUGUUUGGAUGUUGUUCUGUCUGCUCUCAAAUCCGUUGACCGCCCAGCUGUUUCGAUGUGUUUGCCUCCCUAUGCGUGGAGUCCAUCUAUCAAGAAAUGUUAGAUGAAAUGAAAUCCUCAUGUUUAUUCCCACUGUUUCACUAGUAGGACAAAUUGUUCACAUCUGGAGUUAAAACUUGUUUUUGAGCAAACACUGUGUUUGUGCUCUAGUUUAACAUUUUGGCUGAUGCAGUUUUGUUAGGUAUGAAUAUGGUUGUUGUUCCUCGUGUCAUGCAAGUUUAUCUGCAGUGCAGAUAGUAAAUUAUACUUGUAGUCUAACUUGUGAUAUGAAUGAUCUUUAUUGGCCAAAUCAUCAUGUGGUUCUUGAUAGUUGUUAUAUGUAAUCAGCAUGUCAUAUGCACAUUUUUGCUCUUUUUUUGCUUCUGCAAUAUAUAUAUAUAUUGCUUGAGCAUGAUUAUAGUUGUUGAAUCGCCAGUGCACGCCAACUCUUGACAGUGGCAGCCACAUCUUAAUCCUGCAGUUUUUUAUUAACUAGAUUAUCAGCAAAAUUAUGAUGCUCUAGACUAGGGGAGUUUUACAGGCUUAAAAAUAGUUAAUAAAAAAUGACCCCUGAAUGCUAGAAUCCUAAGUGAACACCCGGGAGCAAUGAAAAAUGAGAACAACAGUGGUGCGUUGCAUUGGGUCAAGUUCCUUGUAGAUUAUCUUCAUAUUUCAAGAACAGUUGAGAUGAAGGAAUAAUAAUUAGUCCAUGGAAGACAUGUUACAACAAUGCAAAAAAUUUAUUUUAGGGACCAAUGCAGCAAGUUAUUGCAUCAUUCUGUUAUUUAUUGUUAAAUAUGCUGUUAGAUUUACUUUUAUUUUGUUCCUAACUAUUUUUUCUAUAACGUGCAGAUGUUGGCGUUUCAUGUUUCUUCGUGAGCAUCAGGACAAAGAAAUCGGAAGAAGCAUAGUUCUCGGAGUAAUGAAGCCCUUUAAGUUGAUCCUAUUUGUAUCUAUGUAAUAUGAUUGUAAACUUGUAGAGAAGAUUGCUUCUUGUUGUUAUCUGAUUGUAAACUUCAUGCUGAUCACAUUUGUAUAUGCGUUAUAUGAUGUAGCAGAUUAUAUUGCUUCUUGUUGUAAUUUGAAGUAUUGCGUCUGUGUUUUGUCUAUUUUGAUUUAAAUACUGUUUGUUUAGUUAACGUCAUAUUUAUUGAAAUAUGAAGAACAUGACCUUGACAACAAGGACCUACAAACU